This 324-nucleotide ribosomal RNA is filed under the name Streptococcus pneumoniae. RNAcentral describes it as "bacterial SSU rRNA". It matches the Rfam family "Bacterial small subunit ribosomal RNA", at positions 36 to 349 of the family's 1533-position model. Lineage: Bacteria; Bacillati; Bacillota; Bacilli; Lactobacillales; Streptococcaceae. The record is from RNAcentral.
CUGGCGGCGUGCCUAAUACAUGCAAGUCGAGCGAACAGACGAGGAGCUUGCUCCUCUGACGUUAGCGGCGGACGGGUGAGUAACACGUGGAUAACCUACCUAUAAGACUGGGAUAACUUCGGGAAACCGGAGCUAAUACCGGAUAAUAUAUUGAACCGCAUGGUUCAAUAGUGAAAGACGGUUUUGCUGUCACUUAUAGAUGGAUCCGCGCCGCAUUAGCUAGUUGGUAAGGUAACGGCUUACCAAGGCAGCGAUGCGUAGCCGACCUGAGAGGGUGAUCGGCCACACUGGAACUGAGACACGGUCCAGACUCCUACGGGAGGC